GUCUCCGUAGCGCAACUGGAUAGAGCGUCGGCUUCCGAAGCCGAAGGUUGGAGGUUCGAAUCCUCCCGGGGACA
Molecule: transfer RNA, 74 nt
Filed under: Planctomyces sp. SCGC AG-212-M04
Lineage: Bacteria; Pseudomonadati; Planctomycetota; Planctomycetia; Planctomycetales; Planctomycetaceae
Also listed under: 1 other name
Rfam family: tRNA
About the family: Transfer RNA (tRNA) molecules are approximately 80 nucleotides in length. Their secondary structure includes four short double-helical elements and three loops (D, anti-codon, and T loops).
Source: Rfam by way of RNAcentral